Molecule: ribosomal RNA, 501 nt
Filed under: uncultured bacterium
Lineage: Bacteria
Description: bacterial SSU rRNA
Rfam family: Bacterial small subunit ribosomal RNA
Source: RNAcentral
UGAACGCUGGCGGCGUGCGUUUAUACAUGCAAGUCGUGCGAGAAAGCGGCUUCGGCCGUGAGUACAGCGGCGCACGGGUGAGGUAACACGUGGGUAAUCUACCUCGAAGUGGGGGAUAACCUGGGGAAACUCGGGCUAAUACCGCAUGAGCUUUCACGAUCGCGAUCGUGAAAGGAAGGUUGGCCUCUACACGUAAGCUAACGCUUUGAGAUGAGCCCGCGCCCGAUUAGCUUGUUGGUGGGGGUAAUGGCCUACCAAGGCUUCGAUCGGUAGCCGGCCUGAGAGGGUGAUCGGCCACACUGGAACUGAGACACGGUCCAGACUCCUACGGGAGGCAGCAGUAGGGAAUAUUGCGCAAUGGGCGAAAGCCUGACGCAGCAACGCCGCGUGGAGGACGAAGGCCUUCGGGUCGUAAACUCCUGUCAAGUGGGAAGAAAGGGCACGGACGAAUAAUUCGUGUCUGUGACUGUACCACUGGAGGAAGCCCCGGCUAACUCCGUG